GGUGCUAACGUCCGUAGUCAAGAGGAAAACAAUCCAGACCGCCAGCUAAGGCCCCAAAAUCAUAGUUAAGUGGGAAACGAUGUGGGAAGGCAUAGACAGCUAGGAGGUUGGCUUAGAAGCAGCCACCCUUUAAAGAAAGCGUAAUAGCUCACUAGUCGAGUCGGCCUGCGCGGAAGAUGUAACGGGGCUAAAACUAUGUGCCGAAGCUGCGGAUGUAUACUUUGUAUACGUGGUAGGGGAGCGUUCUGUAAGCCGAUGAAGGUGUGUUGAGAAGCAUGCUGGAGGUAUCAGAAGUGCGAAUGCUGACGUGAGUAACGACAAAACGGGUGAAAAACCCGUUCGCCGAAAGACCAAGGGUUCCAGUCCAACGUUAAUCGGGGCUGGGUGAGUCGACCCCUAAGGCGAGGCCGAAAGGCGUAGUCGAUGGGAAAAUGGUUAAUAUUCCAUUACUUCUGUGUAAUGCGAUGAGAGGACGGAGAAGGCUAAAUCAGCCUGGCGUUGGUUGUCCAGGUGAAAGGAUGUAGGCAUGUAUCUUAGGCAAAUCCGGGGUACUCUAUGCUGAGAUCUGAUAGCAAGCUGUACUUGUACAGCGAAGUGGUUGAUGCCAUGCUUCCAGGAAAAGUCUCUAAGCUUCAGUUACACAGGAAUCGUACCCGAAACCGACACAGGUGGUCAGGUCGAGUAGACCAAGGCGCUUGAGAGAACUCUGCUGAAGGAACUAGGCAAAAUGGUACCGUAACUUCGGGAGAAGGUACGCUGUUGUUGGUGAUGGAACUCGCUUCCUGAGCUGACGACAGCCGCAGAAACCAGGCCGCUGCAACUGUUUAUUAAAAACAUAGCACUCUGCAAACACGAAAGUGGACGUAUAGGGUGUGAUGCCUGCCCGGUGCUGGAAGGUUAAUUGAUGGGGUUAGCGUAAGCGAAGCUCUUGAUCGAAGCCCCAGUAAACGGCGGCCGUAACUAUAACGGUCCUAAGGUAGCGAAAUUCCUUGUCGGGUAAGUUCCGACCUGCACGAAUGGCAUAAUGAUGGCGGCGCUGUCUCCAGCAGAGGCUCAGUGAAAUCGAAAUCGCUGUGAAGAUGCAGUGUACCCGCGGCUAGACGGAAAGACCCCGUGAACCUUUACUGCAGCUUGACACUGAACUUUGACCUUACUUGUGUAGGAUAGGUGGGAGGCUUUGAAGCUGGAACGCUAGUUCCAGUGGAGCCGUCCUUGAAAUACCACCCUGGUAAUGUUGAGGUUCUAACUCUGUCCCGUGAUCCGGGACGAGGACCGUGUCUGGUGGGUAGUUUGACUGGGGCGGUCUCCUCCUAAAGAGUAACGGAGGAGUACGAAGGUGCGCUCAGCGUGGUCGGAAAUCACGCGUAGAGUAUAAAGGCAAAAGCGCGCUUAACUGCGAGACCCACAAGUCGAGCAGGUACGAAAGUAGGUCUUAGUGAUCCGGUGGUUCUGUAUGGAAGGGCCAUCGCUCAACGGAUAAAAGGUACUCUGGGGAUAACAGGCUGAUACCGCCCAAGAGUUCAUAUCGACGGCGGUGUUUGGCACCUCGAUGUCGGCUCAUCUCAUCCUGGGGCUGAAGCAGGUCCCAAGGGUAUGGCUGUUCGCCAUUUAAAGAGGUACGCGAGCUGGGUUUAGAACGUCGUGAGACAGUUCGGUCCCUAUCUACCGUGGGCGCUGGAAAUUUGAGAGGAUCUGCUCCUAGUACGAGAGGACCAGAGUGGACGAACCUCUGGUGUACCGGUUGUGACGCCAGUCGCAUCGCCGGGUAGCUAUGUUCGGAAGGGAUAACCGCUGAAAGCAUCUAAGCGGGAAGCCUACCUCAAGAUAAGAUUUCCCUAGGACUUUAUGUCCUCUAAAGAGCCGUUCGAGACUAGGACGUUGAUAGGUUGGAUGUGGAAGCAUAGUGAUAUGUGAAGCUGACCAAUACUAAUUGCUCGUGAGGCUUGACUAU
Molecule: ribosomal RNA, 1951 nt
Filed under: Acinetobacter baumannii
Lineage: Bacteria; Pseudomonadati; Pseudomonadota; Gammaproteobacteria; Moraxellales; Moraxellaceae
Description: partial 23S ribosomal RNA
Rfam family: Bacterial large subunit ribosomal RNA
Source: RNAcentral